CCUACGGGAGGCAGCAGUGGGGAAUAUUGCACAAUGGGGGAAACCCUGAUGCAGCGACGCCGCGUGAGUGAAGAAGUAUUUCGGUAUGUAAAGCUCUAUCAGCAGGGAAGAAAAUGAUGGUUACAUAUCAAGAAGCCCCCGCUAACUACGUGCCAGCAGCCGCGGUAAUACGUAGGGGGCAAGCGUUAUCCGGCUUUACUGGGUGUAAAGGGGGCGUAGACGGCAGCACAAGUCUGGAGUGAAAGGCCGGGGCUUAACCCCGGAACUGCUGUGGAAACAGUGCAGCUAGAGUGCAGGAGAGGUAAGUGGAAUUCCUAGUGUAGCGGUGAAAUGCGUAGAUAUUAGGAGGAACACCAGUGGCGAAGGCGGCUUACUGGACUGUAACUGACGUUGAGGCUCGAAAGCGUGGGGAGCAAACAGGAUUAGAUACCCCAGUAGUC
This 440-nucleotide ribosomal RNA is filed under the name uncultured bacterium. Its description in RNAcentral is "partial 16S ribosomal RNA". It matches the Rfam family "Bacterial small subunit ribosomal RNA", at positions 338 to 795 of the family's 1533-position model. The record is from RNAcentral.